GAUGAACGCUGGCGGCGUGCCUAAUACAUGCAAGUCGAGCGAACGGACGAGAAGCUCGCUUCUCUGAUGUUAGCGGCGGACGGGUGAGUAACACGUGGAUAACCUACCUAUAAGACUGGGAUAACUUCGGGAAACCGGAGCUAAUACCGGAUAAUAUUUUGAACCGCAUGGUUCAAAAGUGAAAGACGGUCUUGCUGUCACUUAUAGAUGGAUCCGCGCUGCAUUAGCUAGUUGGUAAGGUAACGGCUUACCAAGGCAACGAUGCAUAGCCGACCUGAGAGGGUGAUCGGCCACACUGGAACUGAGACACGGUCCAGACUCCUACGGGAGGCAACAGUAGGGAAUCUUCCGCAAUGGGCGAAAGCCUGACGGAGCAACGCCGCGUGAGUGAUGAAGGUCUUCGGAUCGUAAAACUCUGUUAUUAGGGAAGAACAUAUGUGUAAGUAACUGUGCACAUCUUGACGGUACCUAAUCAGAAAGCCACGGCUAACUACGUG
This 497-nucleotide ribosomal RNA is filed under the name uncultured bacterium. Its description in RNAcentral is "partial 16S ribosomal RNA". It matches the Rfam family "Bacterial small subunit ribosomal RNA", at positions 28 to 507 of the family's 1533-position model. The record is from RNAcentral.